RNAcentral lists this ribosomal RNA (588 nucleotides) under uncultured bacterium. RNAcentral's name for it is "bacterial SSU rRNA". It matches the Rfam family "Bacterial small subunit ribosomal RNA", at positions 331 to 929 of the family's 1533-position model. The record is from RNAcentral.
CCAGACUCCUACGGGAGGCAGCAGUGGGGAAUAUUGCACAAUGGGCGCAAGCCUGAUGCAGCGACGCCGCGUGAGGGAUGACGGCCUUCGGGUUGUAAACCUCUUUCAGCAGGGAAGAAGCGAAAGUGACGGUACCUGCAGAAGAAGCGCCGGCUAACUACGUGCCAGCAGCCGCGGUAAUACGUAGGGCGCGAGCGUUGUCCGGAAUUAUUGGGCGUAAAGAGCUUGUAGGCGGUUUGUUGCGUCUGCUGUGAAAGACCGGGGCUUAACCCCGGUAUUGCAGUGGGUACGGGCAGACUAGAGUGCAGUAGGGGAGACUGGAAUUCCUGGUGUAGCGGUGAAAUGCGCAGAUAUCAGGAGGAACACCGAUGGCGAAGGCAGGUCUCUGGGCUGUAACUGACGCUGAGAAGCGAAAGCAUGGGGAGCGAACAGGAUUAGAUACCCUGGUAGUCCAUGCCGUAAACGUUGGGCACUAGGUGUGGGGGACAUUCCACGUUUUCCGCGCCGUAGCUAACGCAUUAAGUGCCCCGCCUGGGGAGUACGGCCGCAAGGCUAAAACUCAAAGGAAUUGACGGGGGCCCGCACAAG